Bufo bufo (common toad) is the source of this 762-nucleotide long non-coding RNA. RefSeq lists it as uncharacterized. The record is from RefSeq and is a predicted model, not a curated record. The transcript is spliced from 4 exons. NCBI's taxonomy places the organism in Eukaryota, Metazoa, Chordata, Amphibia, Anura, Bufonidae.
GCUGCAGCAGGGAGGACCUGCCGGGCUCCAGUCCAAGCUGACCGUGCAAGAUUGCAUCCGUGGUUCUGGAAGGGGAAGUCCGGAAGCUUGUAGGACCAUCAUUCCUCUGCAUGAGGAGGAAAGCGUCUCAGAGCAUACAGCUACAGCAUCCUUGGAUUGUGCUGCACCUUCCAUUUGGCCUGAAGAGGGCGCUCUUUCCCUGGAGUCAGUAAAAUUGUUUUGUGGAUAAUUCCACAUUUUCUAUACGGUUGUAGGGAAAAUUGUCUAACCUGUCAUAGCUGAGCCCGCUCUAUACACAGAGGAUCCCGUUAUAUAGCUGACACCUGCCAGGAUCGGAGAUCUGUAGAUUCCCAGCAGAGCACAUGGAGAAAUUCAGGCGACCGUUAUCUCAUUACCCACUUUCUAAGCUCGGUGUAAGUGCAAAGGGGGAUGGAGGUUGGAUGAUGAACUUCAAGGGGCCAGUCACUUUUAGCUCCACAGGCUCUCAGCUUGGGCAGAGUCUUCAUCAGAUGAUGUCCUCUGUGGUAAGCCUCCUGAUGGCUUGCGGCUACGUCUUCUUCCUGCUUGCGCACCUCUUUCAGUCCUUUUGUGAGAUUGUGGCCUCGGUCCUGAGCUUCGCGCUGUCCGUGUGUCACAUAAUCUGGUUUAUCAUCAUUUACUCUCUGGUUAUCAUAGUCAGAAUCUGGAAUUUUCUAUUCGUUGACCCAGGCCUGGUUUACAUUGUAUUGGACAUAUGCUGUGUCGUCCUACGUGGAAUACUUU